Molecule: long non-coding RNA, 646 nt
Organism: Girardinichthys multiradiatus
Lineage: Eukaryota; Metazoa; Chordata; Actinopteri; Cyprinodontiformes; Goodeidae
Exons: 2
Source: RefSeq, a predicted model, not a curated record
CACCACUAAUUUUGUGCUUCGGUUUUUUUUAACUCAAGUAAUCUUGCAUUUUGUUCCCAUGCAGGUUUCUACCUGAGGCUUUGUUUACCUUGCUGAGUUUCAACUCCGUUCCAGAGUAUCUCUGAGCGUCUGGAUUAUUAACUACUGAGUUAAGGAACUACCUUCUUGCUCUCACUUCCGUCUGAACCUUUCGGACACGGAACAAGCUGGCGGCUCCCCGUUUCCGUCGACUCCAGGACCUAGGCAUCAGCACACCCUGCUUCUUCUUCUUCUUCUUCUGUGUUAUUUUUUGGCAGUUGGCAAAUAACUUGAAGAUGUGCAUUACCGCCACCGACUGGUAUGGAGUGUGGUUCUUCAUGGUUUUAAAUCUUAUUUACUAUUACAACAAUCAAAUUCUAUGUAUUAAUUUAGUGCUUUUGAAAAAUCUAAUUAUAAUUUUACACCCUGCUUCUUCCUCAUUCUUGAACAUCGGCACCUGAGCUCCUUUUUGUUGGCACCAAGCUCACAACAGAGAAGACAUUUGGACAAUCCUCCUUCGCAAGUUAAUACUCUGAAUCUCUCUACCCCUGGUGGUUCUAGCUCCAAAAAUUUUUUGGUGUUCCCGUCCCAGACUACUUUAUUGACAAUAAAAACCGUAAAACCUUUC